AGAGUUUGAUCCUGGCUCAGGACGAACGCUGGCGGCGUGCUUAACACAUGCAAGUCGAACGGAAAGGCCCUUCGGGGUACUCGAGUGGCGAACGGGUGAGUAACACGUGGGUGAUCUGCCCUGCACUUUGGGAUAAGCCUGGGAAACUGGGUCUAAUACCGAAUAGGACCACGCGCUUCAUGGUGCGUGGUGGAAAGCUUUUGCGGUGUGGGAUGGGCCCGCGGCCUAUCAGCUUGUUGGUGGGGUAAUGGCCUACCAAGGCGACGACGGGUAGCCGGCCUGAGAGGGUGACCGGCCACACUGGGACUGAGAUACGGCCCAGACUCCUACGGGAGGCAGCAGUGGGGAAUAUUGCACAAUGGGCGCAAGCCUGAUGCAGCGACGCCGCGUGAGGGAUGACGGCCUUCGGGUUGUAAACCUCUUUCAAUAGGGACGAAGCGCAAGUGACGGUACCUAUAGAAGAAGCACCGGCCAACUACGUGCCAGCAGCCGCGGUAAUACGUAGGGUGCGAGCGUUGUCCGGAAUUACUGGGCGUAAAGAGCUCGUAGGUGGUUUGUCGCGUUGUUCGUGAAAACCCACAGCUUAACUGUGGGCGUGCGGGCGAUACGGGCAGACUAGAGUACUGCAGGGGAGACUGGAAUUCCUGGUGUAGCGGUGGAAUGCGCAGAUAUCAGGAGGAACACCGGUGGCGAAGGCGGGUCUCUGGGCAGUAACUGACGCUGAGGAGCGAAAGCGUGGGGAGCGAACAGGAUUAGAUACCCUGGUAGUCCAA
This 773-nucleotide ribosomal RNA is filed under the name uncultured bacterium. RNAcentral describes it as "bacterial SSU rRNA". It matches the Rfam family "Bacterial small subunit ribosomal RNA", at positions 8 to 798 of the family's 1533-position model. The record is from RNAcentral.